RNAcentral lists this ribosomal RNA (255 nucleotides) under Clostridioides difficile. RNAcentral's name for it is "partial 23S ribosomal RNA". It matches the Rfam family "Bacterial large subunit ribosomal RNA", at positions 864 to 1119 of the family's 2925-position model. The record is from RNAcentral. Lineage: Bacteria; Bacillati; Bacillota; Clostridia; Peptostreptococcales; Peptostreptococcaceae.
AUAGCUUUAGGGCUAGCCUCAAGGUGAGAGAUACGGAGGUAGAGCACUGAAUGUCCUAGGGGGUAUUGCACCUACCGAAGACUAUCAAACUCCGAAUGCCGUCAUCUUAUACUUGGGAGUCAGACUGUGGGUGAUAAGAUUCAUAGUCGAAAGGGCAACAGCCCAGAUCGUCAGCUAAGGUCCCUAAAUGUAAGUUAAGUGGUAAAGGAUGUGGGAUUGCACAGACAACCAGGAGGUUGGCUUAGAAGCAGCCAC